This 286-nucleotide long non-coding RNA is filed under the name Lathyrus oleraceus (garden pea). RNAcentral's name for it is "Pisum sativum (pea) long non-coding RNA (PSAT_LNC018121)". Lineage: Eukaryota; Viridiplantae; Streptophyta; Magnoliopsida; Fabales; Fabaceae. The record is from RNAcentral.
UCUUUUGCUGAUACUGUUACUACUACCGCUAUUGAAUGAAAUCACCACUCUCUCUGGUGUCUUGAAUACUGACACUAUUACAUUGACAUCAUCAUCUAUGUGACGGAAUUGAACAAUCUAAAUCAAGCCUUCAUCCAUCAACUGAUGGAUGUCCCUCUUCAUUAUUAUACAACCUCUAGGAUUAAUACUGCAGAUAGCAUAACCAUCAUGGUUAUGCUCACAAUCACUCACCAAGCAAAUAUCCUUGUGCAUCAUCACCAAGGACCUUCUAACGAAGCAUACAUCG